This is a non-coding RNA of Aulographum hederae CBS 113979, 126 nucleotides long. The record is from the annotation of a GenBank genome assembly. Lineage: Eukaryota; Fungi; Ascomycota; Dothideomycetes; Aulographales; Aulographaceae.
AGUCCGAUGGUCUAGUGGUAUGACGUUCGCUUCACAUGCGAAAGGUAAAUAUUCCUUUCCCCAUCUUUGAUGGGAUUUAAAGCUAACAACGUCUUCAGGUCCUGGGUUCGAGCCCCUGUCGGACUA